RNAcentral lists this ribosomal RNA (368 nucleotides) under uncultured organism. RNAcentral's name for it is "bacterial SSU rRNA". It matches the Rfam family "Bacterial small subunit ribosomal RNA", at positions 526 to 896 of the family's 1533-position model. The record is from RNAcentral.
CGGAGGGUGCAAGCGUUAUCCGGAUUCACUGGGUUUAAAGGGAGCGUAGGUGGCUUUGUAAGUCAGUGGUGAAAUAUUGCGGCUCAACCGCAAAACUGCCAUUGAUACUGCUUAGCUUGAAUCACGUCGAGGUGGAUGGAAUAAUACAUGUAGCGGUGAAAUGCUUAGAUAUGUAUUAGAACACCGAUUGCGAAGGCAGUUCACUAGGCGUGUAUUGACACUGAGGCUCGAAAGCGUGGGGAUCAAACAGGAUUAGAUACCCUGGUAGUCCACGCCCUAAACGAUGUAAACUCGACAUUAGCGAUAUACUGUUAGUGUCCAAGCGAAAGCGUUAAGUUUACCACCUGGGAAGUACGACCGCAAGGUUG